AUACGGAGGACGCGAGCGUUAUUCGGAUUCAUUGGGUUUAAAGGGUGCGCAGGCGGCCGUGCAAGUCAGCGGUGAAAGCCCGGGGCUCAACCCCGGAAGUGCCGUUGAUACUGCAUGGCUGGAAUGCGGUCGAGGCGGGCGGGACGGGGCGUGGAGCGGUGAAAUGCGUAGAUAUGCCGCAGAACGCGGAGAGCGGAGGCAGCUCGCCAGGCCUGCAUUGACGCUCGGGCACGAAAGCGGGGGGAUCGAACAGGAUUAGAUACCCUGGUAGUCCACGCCGUAAACGAUGGGCGCUCGUCGUCGGCGGCAGACAGUCGGCGGCCAAGCGAAAGCGAUAAGCGCCCCACCUGGGGAGUACGGUCGCAAGGCUGAAACUCAAAUGAAUUGACGGGG
RNAcentral lists this ribosomal RNA (393 nucleotides) under uncultured bacterium. RNAcentral describes it as "partial 16S ribosomal RNA". It matches the Rfam family "Bacterial small subunit ribosomal RNA", at positions 523 to 918 of the family's 1533-position model. The record is from RNAcentral.